RNAcentral lists this unclassified non-coding RNA (849 nucleotides) under Leishmania donovani. RNAcentral describes it as "gene:unknown". Lineage: Eukaryota; Euglenozoa; Kinetoplastea; Trypanosomatida; Trypanosomatidae. The record is from RNAcentral.
GUGGUGGGUGACAGUCAUUCUUCCGUACUUUGUUGGCCAUUCCUCUCUCCCUCCCUCCCCCUUCCAACCCUUCCCUCAACCAUCACCUAUCCGUUACCGUCCGUAUGCUCCUUUUGCGCCCCAGGCGGAGUCACUGCGAAGAGGGUGCAGAUGGAAAUUAGGAGAGGGGGGAUUGCCAAAGUGCUUGAUAUAUCUUUCGCUGUCUUGAGACUCUUUCUUUCUCUAGCCAUCGUGUUAGUCUUGUUUUGCUGCUCCGUAUGUACGCGUGAGGGUGUGUGUGUGCGCAUGGCUGGGACGGAGGUAUUUUUCGCUCAGCAUAUAAAGUUGUUUGAAGUCAUCGUCGUUUCGCCAUGAUGGACCGCGUCUGUUGCCCGGGGGGAGGGGUGGGGAAUGCUCCCCAGGAGGCGCGUCACCCCUGUCGAAUCCCUUGCCGCUCCUCUCUCUACUUGCGGCCCUGCUACGUAUAGAGGAAGCCUCUCAAGGAAGUGUGCCUGUUACCCGCUAAACCCCCCCGUGUUGUACACAGUUUCCAAGUAUAAAUGUACGCUUCAAUCAAAGCACAGGUGCAUCCACCACACUCACUGCCUCACAGAUGCCGCGCAGUCUCUGACCCGCACAGACUGCGUCCUUUUCUCCUUGUCUUUUUAUCGUAUAUAUUGUCUAUGUGUCUGUGUCUGUGGCAGAAACCCGUGCCUUCGUUCUCGGAGAGCAUGGAGAGGACGUGGCAAGUCGUCGUACACACACACACUCCGACGAGCCGCACGCAAUGUCGUCAUUCCUGGUUCCACGCCUCGCUUCACCUACCACGCCCUUCUCCCUCUUCUCUCUGCUCCCAUUGCUAUCGAGUAG